AACGAACGCUGGCGGCAGGCUUAACACAUGCAAGUCGAACGCCCCGCAAGGGGUGUGGCGGACUGGUGGGUAACGCGUGGGAACAUACCCUUUUCUACGGAAUACCUCUGGGAAACUGGUAUUAAUACCGUAUACGCCCUACGGGGGGAAGAUUUAUCGGGGAAGGAUUGGCCCGCGUUGGAUUAGCUAGUUGGUGGGGUAAAGGCAUACCAAGGCGACGAUCCAUAGCUGGUCUGAGAGGAUGAUCAGCCAGAUUGGGGCUGAGACACGGACCAAACUCCUACGGGAGGGAGGAGUGGGGAAUAUUGGACAAGGGGCGCAAGCCUGAUCCAGCCAUGCCGGGUGAGUGAUGAAGGCCUUAGGGUUGUAAAGCUCUUUCACCGAUGAAGAUAAUGACGGUAGUCGGAGAAGAAGCCCCGGCUAACUUCGUG
This 431-nucleotide ribosomal RNA is filed under the name uncultured bacterium. RNAcentral's name for it is "partial 16S ribosomal RNA". It matches the Rfam family "Bacterial small subunit ribosomal RNA", at positions 29 to 507 of the family's 1533-position model. The record is from RNAcentral.